Molecule: ribosomal RNA, 449 nt
Filed under: uncultured bacterium
Lineage: Bacteria
Description: partial 16S ribosomal RNA
Rfam family: Bacterial small subunit ribosomal RNA
Source: RNAcentral
AACGAACGCUGGCGGCAUGCCUAACACAUGCAAGUCGAACGAGAUCUUCGGGUCUAGUGGCGCACGGGUGCGUAACGCGUGGGAAUCUGCCCUUUGGUUCGGAAUAACAGUUGGAAACGACUGCUAAUACCGGAUGAUGACGAAAGUCCAAAGAUUUAUCGCCAGAGGAUGAGCCCGCGUAGGAUUAGCUAGUUGGUGUGGUAAGGGCGCACCAAGGCGACGAUCCUUAGCUGGUCUGAGAGGAUGAUCAGCCACACUGGGACUGAGACACGGCCCAGACGCCUACGGGAGGCAGCAGGGGGGAAGAUUGGACAAUGGGCGAAAGCCUGAUCCAGCAAUGCCGCGUGAGUGAUAAAGGCCUUAGGGUUGUAAAGCUCUUUUACCCGGGAUGAUAAUGACAGUACCGGGAGAAUAAGCUCCGGCUAACUCCGUGCCAGCCGCCGCCGUAA